This 488-nucleotide ribosomal RNA is filed under the name Amphistomus speculifer. RNAcentral's name for it is "partial 16S ribosomal RNA". It matches the Rfam family "Bacterial large subunit ribosomal RNA", at positions 1841 to 2577 of the family's 2925-position model. The record is from RNAcentral. Lineage: Eukaryota; Metazoa; Arthropoda; Insecta; Coleoptera; Scarabaeidae.
UAAUUUAAAGUCUGACCUGCCCUAUGAAUUUAGUGUUUAAAUGGCCGCGGUAUUUUGACCGUGCAAAGGUAGCAUAAUAAUUAGUUUUUUAAUUGGGAACUGGUAUGAAUGGUCGAACGAGAAAAAAACUGUCUCAAUUUAAUUUAAAUUAGAAUUUUAUUUUUAAGUAAAAAAGCUUAAAUAAUUUUAAAAGACGAGAAGACCCUAUAGAGUUUUAUAUAAAUUUUAUAUAUUUAAAAAUUUAAGUAUAUUAAAAUUUAAUUAUUAAAAUUUAUAUUUAAUUGGGGUGAUUAAAAAAUUAAUAGAACUUUUUUUAUAUAUAUACAUUGAUUUAUGAAUAAAUGAUCCAUAUAUUUAUGAUUAUAAGAUUAAAUUACCUUAGGGAUAACAGCGUAAUUUUUUUUGAGAGUUCUUAUCGAAAAAAAAGUUUGCGACCUCGAUGUUGGAUUAAAAUUAACUUUUGGUGUAGUAGCUAAAUAGGUUAGGUC